RNAcentral lists this ribosomal RNA (465 nucleotides) under Vreelandella stevensii. RNAcentral's name for it is "partial 16S ribosomal RNA". It matches the Rfam family "Bacterial small subunit ribosomal RNA", at positions 338 to 795 of the family's 1533-position model. Lineage: Bacteria; Pseudomonadati; Pseudomonadota; Gammaproteobacteria; Oceanospirillales; Halomonadaceae. The record is from RNAcentral.
CCUACGGGAGGCAGCAGUGGGGAAUAUUGGACAAUGGGGGCAACCCUGAUCCAGCCAUGCCGCGUGUGUGAAGAAGGCCCUCGGGUUGUAAAGCACUUUCAGUGAGGAAGAACGCCUGGUGGUUAAUACCCAUCAGGAAAGACAUCACUCACAGAAGAAGCACCGGCUAACUCCGUGCCAGCAGCCGCGGUAAUACGGAGGGUGCGAGCGUUAAUCGGAAUUACUGGGCGUAAAGCGCGCGUAGGUGGCUUGAUAAGCCGGUUGUGAAAGCCCCGGGCUCAACCUGGGAACGGCAUCCGGAACUGUCAAGCUAGAGUGCAGGAGAGGAAGGUAGAAUUCCCGGUGUAGCGGUGAAAUGCGUAGAGAUCGGGAAGAAUACCAGUGGCGAAGGCGGCCUUCAGGACUGACACUGACACUGAGGUGCGAAAGCGUGGGUAGCAAACAGGAUUAGAUACCCCAGUAGUC